GCAUUUCGCCGAGACGUCCUCGCCAACCAACCGGCCCGCCUGCUUCACCUCUCCCGUGAGCCCUGCGGAAACAUUACAGGACCGUGUGACGGAGCCUUUUCCACGUAAAGGGGCCGUGUGGGUGGCCUUCAGGAACGGGCCGAGGGGUUGCCGCGCGGCCUGCGAUGACGGCGUCCGGCUCCCAGUGUGGCCGAAGCGCGUGACCCCAGGAUGUGGCCGUUCGCAGGAGACCCUGACCGAGAGACGGCAGCCUGGCGAUGGCAGGAACUUCCCAGAUAGCGAGGCGGCCUUCCUUGGCGCUCCAUGUGGAUCCUCCCCGCUGGGCAUCCGAGAGCUGAGUCGGAGGCUGCAAAUUGCAGAGGGGCUGAAAUCGGGGUGCUGGGUCGGGACUUGUGGCCUGGGAUUAUGGAGUCAGCUUUGGGGACGGGGAUGUCCAGGCUGUGGCCCCUUAGGCCACGUGAAGGGAGAGCCUCACAUUUGUUCACAGUGCUGAGGUGCGCAGGACGGAGCAGCCCCAGGGCGUGUUGUAUCACUUGUCCAUUGUGCCUUGUGUGUCUUUUGUGCUCCUUGUGUUGUACGUGCCUCGCCUUAUCUCUUCUGGGGGCUUACCAGAAACCCCGGCGUCACUCCUCGCAUCUCUGAUCUCUGGGCUCCUCAGCCCGACACCAUCAAAGCUUUGCCUCGGGAGCUCUCAGAGGCCUUGGAAUCGCGUCUCUCUUUUAAAAGCAUCCGAUCGGAUGUCUUUUAGAGGUCUUGUUCCGAGCUGUGUCAACAGCCGUGCGCCGCGAGGAUCCAUUGCUGCGGCUUAGGUCUUGAAGAAACGCAGAGAUAGGUAGGGGGCUGUGGCCCUCAGAUUCUCGGGCAUCCGUCUUGGCAGUUGCUGGAGUUUGUCAUUCCAUCAGCAUCUUCUUCCUCCCGGGUUCUGCGAGCUUCAUCAGCUCGCCUUCAUUCUCACCCGGCUCAUCUCGUUCCGCGUUCUCUCGGUCCUUGCGGCCAUUCUUGUGGCCCAGAGUUUUGUCUCCCCAUUGUGUCCCCUCGUCUGUUGUCUUGUGUGUCACGGGUGUCUGGGUGUAGUUGUCCCGGAGCUGCUCUGUCCUGCUGCCCAGCCUGGGUGUAGGUGUAAAAGGCCGAGUCCUAGGCCCCUGUAAUUUGAAAUUUGUCAUGUAGGGCAUAGUUGGAGUCUAGCGGGUGUUCCUAGAUUGACAUAAGAUGUCUGGAGCUGUGAAGUUACCCUGCAGCACUUUGACUUUUGUCUUAGCUUUCUUUCAGAUGCGGACGGAUGUAAUCAGUGGCAGAGCGCCCCAUCCAGGGUAAGGGGGUUCCCGCGAGAAGGUAAGUCAAUGUUUGUCUUUGCAGGGCAACUGGAACCGGUCACUGUGUGACAGGUCUCCUCUUUGUCUUUAUUUUUAGGAAGUAGAGCCAGCUGGCAGCAGUCAAGGCGAAGUGGGCAAGGCGGUCCAGUCGUGUUUCGCUGAGACGUCCUUGCCAACCGGCCGGCACAGCUGCUUCACCGCUCCCGUGAGCCCUGCGGAAGCGUUAUGGAACCGUGUGACGGAGCGUUUUCCACGUAAAGGGGCCAUGUG
This is a long non-coding RNA of Poecile atricapillus (Black-capped chickadee), 1583 nucleotides long. RefSeq lists it as uncharacterized. Lineage: Eukaryota; Metazoa; Chordata; Aves; Passeriformes; Paridae. The transcript has 4 exons. The record is from RefSeq and is a predicted model, not a curated record.